RNAcentral lists this transfer RNA (76 nucleotides) under Pediococcus stilesii. RNAcentral describes it as "tRNA-Asn". It matches the Rfam family "tRNA". From Rfam's summary of the family: Transfer RNA (tRNA) molecules are approximately 80 nucleotides in length. The record is from RNAcentral. Lineage: Bacteria; Bacillati; Bacillota; Bacilli; Lactobacillales; Lactobacillaceae.
UCCGGCAUAGCUCAGUUGGUAGAGCAUCUGACUGUUAAUCAGGGUGUCGACGGUUCGAGUCCGCCUGCCGGAGUCA